GGGGGACCCAUCAGUGGGGUGGGGGACCCAUCAGUGGGGCUGCCCCAUAAGUGUGGGGGGGGGACCCAUCAGUGGGGCUGCCCCAUAAGUGGGGGGGAACACAUAAGUGGGGGGGGGGACCCAUCAGUGGGGCUGCCCCAUAAGUGGGGGGGAACCCAUCAGUGGGGGGGGGACCCAUCAGUGGGGCUGCCCCAUAAGUGGGGGGGAACCCAUCAGUGGGGGGGGACCCAUCAGUGGGGCUGCCCCAUAAGUGGGGGGGAACCCAUAAUGGGGGGGGGACCCAUCAGUGGGGCUGCCCCAUAAGUGGGGGGGAACCCAUCAUGGGGGGGGGGACCCAUCAGUGGGGCUGACCCAUAAGUUGGAGGGGGUCCAUCAGUGGGGUAUGGGACCCAUAAGUGGGGUGGGACCCAUAAGUUGGGGAGAGCCAUAACUGGGGGCCGCCCCAUAAGUGGGGGGGGUCCAUCAGUGGGGGCUGCCCCAUAAGUAGGGGGGGACACCCAUCAGUGGGGCAGCCCCAUACGUGUGGUAGGGGGACCCAUCAGUGGGGGGGACCCAUAAGUGUGGGGGGGUCCAUCAGUGGGGUACGGGACCCAUAAGUGUGGCUGCCCCAUAAGUGUGGGGGGGGACCCAUCAGUGGAGGGGGGGGGCCAUCAGUGGGGUACGGGACCCAUAAGUGGGGUGGGGACCCAUCAGUGGGGGCUGCCCCAUAAGUAGGGGGGGACACCCAUCAGUGGGGCUGCCCCAUACGUGUGGGAGGGGGGACCCAUAAGUGGGGGGGGGGACCCAAAUGGGUCUCAAUGUCCCCAAAUGGGCCUCAAUGUCCCCAAAUGGGCCUCAAUGUCCCCAAAUCAGAUCCCACUGUCCCCAAAUGGGCCUCAGUGUCCCCAAAUGGGGUCCCACUGUCCCCAAAUGGGUCUCAAUGUCCCCAAUUCUGAUCCCAUUGACCCCAAAUGGGUCUCAGUGUCCCCAAAUGGGCCUCAAUGUCCCCAAAAGGGUCUCAAUGUCCCCAAAUCAGAUCCCACUGUCCCCAAAUGGGUCUCAAUGUCCCCAAAUGGGUCUCAAUGUCCCCAAUUCUGAUCCCACUGUCCCCAAAUGGGUCUCAAUGUCCCCAUAUGGGCCUCAAUGUCCCCAAAUGGGUCUCAAUGUCCCCAAAUGGGUCUCAAUGUCCCCAAUUCUGAUCCCACUGUCCCCAAAUGGGCCUCGAUGGCCCCAAAUGGGCCUCGAUGUCCCCAAAUGGGUCUCAAUGUCCCCAAAUCAGAUCCCACUGUCCCCAAAUGGGCCUCAGUGUCCCCAAAUGGGCCUCAAUGUCCCCAAUUCUGAUCCCAUUGACCCCAAAUGGGCCUCAGUGUCCCAAAGGGGUCUCAAUGUCCCCACAUCAGAUCCCACUGUCCCCAAAUGUGUCUCAAUGUCCCCAAAUGGGUCUCAAUGUCCCCAGUUCUGAUCCCAUUGACCCCAAAUGGGUCUCAGUGUCCCCAAAUGGGUCUCAAUGUCCCCAAAUCAGAUCCCACUGUCCCCAAAUGGGUCUCAAUGUCCCCAAAUGGGUCUCAGCCCCCCCCUUCCCCCCAUAACCCCCCC
This 1575-nucleotide long non-coding RNA is filed under the name Gallus gallus (chicken). RNAcentral describes it as "lncRNA (ENSGALG00010000429.1)". The record is from RNAcentral. Lineage: Eukaryota; Metazoa; Chordata; Aves; Galliformes; Phasianidae.